Molecule: ribosomal RNA, 482 nt
Filed under: uncultured bacterium
Lineage: Bacteria
Description: partial 16S ribosomal RNA
Rfam family: Bacterial small subunit ribosomal RNA
Source: RNAcentral
AUUGAACGCUGGCGGCAUGCUUUACACAUGCAAGUCGAACGGUAACAGGCCGCAAGGUGCUGACGAGUGGCGAACGGGUGAGUAAUGCAUCGGAACGUGCCCAGUCGUGGGGGAUAGCUACUCGAAAGAGUAGCUAAUACCGCAUACGAUCUAUGGAUGAAAGCGGGGGACCGUAAGGCCUCGCGCGAUUGGAGCGGCCGAUGUCAGAUUAGGUAGUUGGUGGGGUAAAGGCUCACCAAGCCAACGAUCUGUAGCUGGUCUGAGAGGACGACCAGCCACACUGGGACUGAGACACGGCCCAGACUCCUACGGGAGGCAGCAGUGGGGAAUUUUGGACAAUGGGCGCAAGCCUGAUCCAGCAAUGCCGCGUGCAGGAAGAAGGCCUUCGGGUUGUAAACUGCUUUUGUACGGAACGAAACGGCUCUGGUUAAUACCCGGGGCUAAUGACGGUACCGUAAGAAUAAGCACCGGCUAACUACGUG